RNAcentral lists this long non-coding RNA (822 nucleotides) under Ananas comosus (pineapple). Its description in RNAcentral is "long non-coding RNA (ACOM_LNC036264)". The record is from RNAcentral. Lineage: Eukaryota; Viridiplantae; Streptophyta; Magnoliopsida; Poales; Bromeliaceae.
AGAGAGAAAGAGAUUUUGUUUUAAAUUAGAAUUUAAAUGUUUAAAAUUUAAAAUUUGUAAUCUCAAAAUUAAAAUUUAUAAUUUAUAAUUCUUAAUUUUAAAGUUUAAAUUUUAAAUUUUAAAUUUGAUAUUUUAAUUUUUUAAAAUUUAAAAUUUGAUAUUUUAUAUUUUUCAAAUUUAAAUUUGGUCUUAAAUUUAAAAUUUAAAAUUUUAAAAUUUAAAAUUUAAGAAUUUAAAUUUUAAAAUUUAAAAGUUAAAAUUUUAAAUUUUAAAUUAUAAAUUUAAAAUUUAAAAUUUAAAAUCCAAAUAUAAUUAGAGGGGUAAUCGUUAUUUUCUAUUUAUAACAGCACACUAUUCUUCUUAUUUUAUCUUAUCUCUUCAGACGUUAUUUUUCUUAUUCCCGAAAACAACAUAAUUUUCAUCCAAACGCAAAAUUGGUCUAGUUUUUUCUUAAAUCUGAACUUACAUCUAUUCCUAGAACAAGCAAUUCUUACUUAUACCCGAACCAAAUGAAGUCUUAAGAAUACAUGAUCUCCUACCUGAAACUCAAGGUCUUGUCGUUGAACAUCAGCAUAGCUUUUCUGUCGACUCUGUGAGAUCACAAGAUGUCGUGUCACAAUCUUGACUUUCCUUUCUGUUUCCAUCAUAAUAUCUGAACCUAGAGUCUUCCUUUUACCUAUAUCACUCCAAUAAUCGACACUUUCUUAUCAGCAAUGCUUCAAACGGACCUAUUUUGAUACUCGCCUAGUAACUAUUACUGCUAGUGAAGGCCCGCGCUACGCGGCGGGGAAUUUAUGUAAAUUCUAAAAUACUUUAAAUUAU